This 1037-nucleotide ribosomal RNA is filed under the name Candidatus Phytoplasma citri. RNAcentral's name for it is "bacterial SSU rRNA". It matches the Rfam family "Bacterial small subunit ribosomal RNA", at positions 398 to 1442 of the family's 1533-position model. Lineage: Bacteria; Bacillati; Mycoplasmatota; Mollicutes; Acholeplasmatales; Acholeplasmataceae. The record is from RNAcentral.
CGCGUGAAUGACGAAGUACUUCGGUAUGUAAAGUUCUUUUAUCGAGGAAGAAAAGCAAAUGGCGAACCAUUUGUUUGCCGGUACUUGAUGAAUAAGCCCCGGCUAAUUAUGUGCCAGCAGCCGCGGUAAGACAUAAGGGGCAAGUGUUAUCCGGAAUUAUUGGGCGUAAAGGGUGCGUAGGCGGUCUAGUAAGUCAGUGGUGUAAUGGCAACGCUUAACGUUGUCCGGCUAUUGAAACUGCUAAACUUGAGUUAGAUAGAGGCGAGUGGAAUUCCAUGUGUAGCGGUAAAAUGCGUAAAUAUAUGGAGGAACACCAGAGGCGUAGGCGGCUCGCUGGGUCUUAACUGACGCUGAGGCACGAAAGCGUGGGGAGCAAACAGGAUUAGAUACCCUGGUAGUCCACGCCGUAAACGAUGAGUACUAAGUGUCGGGUUAAACCGGUACUGAAGUUAACACAUUAAGUACUCCGCCUGAGUAGUACGUACGCAAGUAUGAAACUUAAAGGAAUUGACGGGACUCCGCACAAGCGGUGGAUCAUGUUGUUUAAUUCGAAGAUACCCGAAAAACCUUACCAGGUCUUGACAUGUUUUUGCAAAAUGAUAGUAAUAUCGUGGAGGUUACCAGAAACACAGGUGGUGCAUGGUUGUCGUCAGCUCGUGUCGUGAGAUGUUAGGUUAAGUCCUAAAACGAGCGAAACCCUUAUCGUUAGUUGCCAGCACGUUAUGGUGGGGACUUUAACGAGACUGCCAAUGAUAAAUUGGAGGAAGGUGAGGAUCACGUCAAAUCAGCAUGCCCCUUAUGACCUGGGCUACAAACGUGAUACAAUGGCUGUUACAAAGGGUAGCUGAAACGCAAGUUCUUGGCCAAUCCCCAAAAACAGUCCCAGUCCGGAUUGAAGUCUGCAACUCGACUUCAUGAAGUUGGAAUCGCUAGUAAUCGCGAAUCAGCAUGUCGCGGUGAAUACGUUCUCGGGGUUUGUACACACCGCCCGUCAAACCACGAAAGUUGGCAAUACCCCAAAACGGUAGCCUAACUCG